RNAcentral lists this ribosomal RNA (1265 nucleotides) under bacterium CYCU-0213. RNAcentral's name for it is "partial 16S ribosomal RNA". It matches the Rfam family "Bacterial small subunit ribosomal RNA", at positions 41 to 1283 of the family's 1533-position model. The record is from RNAcentral.
GGUUGGCCUUUUCCAUGCAAGUCGAACGGUAACAGGUCUUCGGAUGCUGACGAGUGGCGAAAGGGUGACCUAAAACAUCUCUUCGUGCCCCCUAGUGGGGGAUAACGAGGCGAAAGCUUUGCUAAUACCGCAUACCAUCUACGGAUGAAAGCGGGGGAUCUUCGGACCUCGCGCUCCUGGAGCGGCCGAUGGCAGAUUAUGUAGUUGGUGGGGUAAGAGCCUACCAAGCCUGCGAUCUGUAGCUGGUCUGAGAGGAUGAUCUUCCACACUGGGACUGAGACACGGCCCAGACUCCUACGGGAGGCAGCAGUGGGGAAUUUUGGACAAUGGGCGCAAGCCUGAUCCAGCCAUGCCGCGUGCAGGAUGAAGGCCUUCGGGUUGUAAACUGCUUUUGUACGGAACGAAAAGCUUCUCUCUAAUACAGGGGGGUGAUGACGGUACCGUAAGAAUAAGCACCGGCUAACUACGUGCCAGCAGCCGCGGUAAUACGUAGGGUGCGAGCGUUAAUCGGAAUUACUGGGCGUAAAGCGUGCGCAGGCGGUUUUGUAAGACAGAGGUGAAAUCCCCGGGCUCAACCUGGGAACUGCCUUUGUGACUGCUAGGCUGGAGUGCGGCUUAGGGGGAUGGAAUUCCGCGUGUAUCAGUGAAAUGCGUAGAUAUGCGGAGGAACACCGAUGGCGAAGGCAAUCCCCUGGGCCUGCACUGACUCUCAUGCACGAAAGCGUGGGUAGCAAACAGGAUUAGAUACCCUGGUAGUCCACGCCCUAAACGAUGUCAACUGGUUGUUGGGUAUAAUCUCUUCAGUAACGAAGCUACGCGUGAAGUUGACCGCCUGGGGAGUACGGCCGCAAGGUUGAAACUCAAAGUCAUUGACGGGGACCCGCACAAGCGGUGGAUGAUGUGGUUAAUUCCAUGCAACGCGAAAACCCUAACCACCUUUUGACCUGAAUGGAAUCCUGAAGAGAUUUGGGGAGUGCUCGAAGGAAGGCAUUACACACGUGCUGCAAGGACUGUACUCAGCUUCGUGUCGUGAGAUGAUGGGUUAAGGCCCCGCAAAUCAUCGUCAUCCCUUGCCAUUAUGUGCUACGAAAGGGCCACUCUAUUGGGACCUGCCCGGUGAACAAAUCCGAACGAAAGUGGGGGAUAUGACUCCAGUCCCUUCACGGCCCUAUUACGUGUGGGCUGCACCACUAUCUAUACAUGGGGGUGUCACGAAGAGAGAUUGUGCCAAUCUCGGGAGAGGGGGAACCAAUUCUCCCAAAAAU